AAAAGCUUUUGGCAAGGGCAAUAGAUGUAAAUGAUGUACCUUGAUGGAACUGUACACUGAAGAAAGUCUACCAUCUUCUGAGCGUGCUGCUUCGAAGAAUAAUAAAAAUCCAGGCCAUCUGAAAGAAAAAAAUAAGAAAGCCUGAUGAACAUACCUAUGCAAUGCAUCUGAGAAGAACAUUCUUCUAGUUACCCAUACAUAGCUAUUAAUACAAGCAACAUAAUCCAGGUUUGUCUGCUCUACCUCCAGAUUAACAAGGCAUCUCGCUUACCGUGGAUUUCCUUGAUGCGAAGUGUAUUUUGAUGAAGCCUGUGUUUUAAAAUCAGCUGCUCCAAAUAGUAGAAAGUCUUUUUGUGCAGAGUCUUUUGCCUGACUUGAACUACAGCUUUCCAGAAAUCCUUAGCUUCAAUCCUAUGACAGUCUUCACACAUCUGCGACUGAAUCAGAUAUUCCACCACAAACACUUGCUGAAGAACUGCUCCAUUUAUC
RNAcentral lists this long non-coding RNA (489 nucleotides) under Gallus gallus (chicken). Lineage: Eukaryota; Metazoa; Chordata; Aves; Galliformes; Phasianidae. The record is from RNAcentral.